Molecule: ribosomal RNA, 252 nt
Filed under: uncultured bacterium
Lineage: Bacteria
Description: partial 16S ribosomal RNA
Rfam family: Bacterial small subunit ribosomal RNA
Source: RNAcentral
GACGAACGCUGGCGGCGUGCUUAACACAUGCAAGUCGAGCGGUAAGGCCCUUUCGGGGGUACACGAGCGGCGAACGGGUGAGUAACACGUGGGUGACCUGCCCCUUAGCUCUGGGAUAAGACCUGGGAAACUGGGUCUAAUACCGGAUAUGACUCCAUGACGCAUGUUGUGGGGUGAAAGCCUUGUGCGGCUAGGGAUGGGCCUGCGGCCUAUCAGCUUGUUGGUGGGGUGAUGGCCUACCAAGGCGACGAC